Long non-coding RNA from Tupaia belangeri chinensis (Chinese tree shrew), 197 nucleotides. RefSeq lists it as uncharacterized. The record is from RefSeq and is a predicted model, not a curated record. Lineage: Eukaryota; Metazoa; Chordata; Mammalia; Scandentia; Tupaiidae. The transcript has 3 exons.
CUCAGGAUCUUGGGCACGCACGCACACGCGCCCGGCGUUUUAUACCUCUUUACUCUGAAGUGUGAAGGAGCAACAGAAGAAAGACAUAUGUGAGUCCUGACAGAGGAAAGGAGGAAUUUGGUGUUUACCCAAGAAAAACUGAAGAGGGUCAGCAGAUGGCAUGGUGGUUAAGGUUGCUGGACUCCCACAUGGCCGAC